CGUUGUUGUCGUCACUGUCGUCAUCUUUGUUGUUUUUGUUGUUACCGUUGUUGUCGCUGUUGUCAUUGUUGUUGAUGUUGUCGUUGUUGUUCUUGUUUCCUUAGUUGUCAUUGUUCUCAUCGUUGUGGUCGUUGUCGUUCUUGUCUUCAUUGUCAUCGUUAUUGUUGUCGUCGUUAUUGUUGUUGUCGUUGUGGUGGUGGUGGUGGUGUUGGUUGUUCUUAUUAUUGUUUUUGUUGUUAUUGUCAUUAUCGUUGUUGUCGACCUUGUCGUCAUCGUUGUCAUCAUCGUCGACAUCGUUG
This 299-nucleotide long non-coding RNA is filed under the name Hordeum vulgare. RNAcentral describes it as "long non-coding RNA (HVUL_LNC021413)". The record is from RNAcentral. Lineage: Eukaryota; Viridiplantae; Streptophyta; Magnoliopsida; Poales; Poaceae.